Molecule: ribosomal RNA, 303 nt
Filed under: uncultured bacterium
Lineage: Bacteria
Description: partial 16S ribosomal RNA
Rfam family: Bacterial small subunit ribosomal RNA
Source: RNAcentral
AGCAGUCGCCACGGGAAUACAGAGGGUGCGAGCGUUAAUCGGAUUUACUGGGCGUAAAGCGUGCGUAGGCGGCUUCUUAAGUCGGAUGUGAAAUCCCUGAGCUUAACUUAGGAAUUGCAUUCGAUACUGGGAAGCUAGAGUAUGGGAGAGGAUGGUAGAAUUCCAGGUGUAGCGGUGAAAUGCGUAGAGAUCUGGAGGAAUACCGAUGGCGAAGGCAGCCAUCUGGCCUAAUACUGACGCUGAGGUACGAAAGCAUGGGGAGCAAACAGGAUUAGAUACCCCAGUAGUCCCUGUCUCUUAUAA